RNAcentral lists this ribosomal RNA (1057 nucleotides) under Clostridioides difficile. Its description in RNAcentral is "bacterial LSU rRNA". It matches the Rfam family "Bacterial large subunit ribosomal RNA", at positions 398 to 1465 of the family's 2925-position model. The record is from RNAcentral. Lineage: Bacteria; Bacillati; Bacillota; Clostridia; Peptostreptococcales; Peptostreptococcaceae.
AGAUAUGAUCCAGAGUACCACGGGACACGUGAAACCCUGUGGGAAGCAGGAGGGACCACCCUCCAAGGCUAAAUACUACCUAGUGACCGAUAGCGUAUAGUACCGUGAGGGAAAGGUGAAAAGAACCCCGGGAGGGGAGUGAAAUAGAACCUGAAACCCUGCACUUACAAGCUGUGGAAGCACAUUUCUUGUGUGACCGCGUACUUUUUGUAGAACGGGCCAACGAGUUACGUUAAGUAGCAAGGUUAAGCACUUAAGGUGCGGAGCCGUAGCGAAAGCGAGUUUUAACUGAGCGUUCAGUUACUUGACGUAGACCCGAAACCGGGCGACCUACCCAUGAGCAGGAUGAAGCGAAAGUAAAAUUUCGUGGAGGUCCGAACCCACGAGCGUUGAAAAGCUCGGGGAUGACUUGUGGGUAGCGGUGAAAUUCCAAUCGAGCCCGGAGAUAGCUGGUUCUCCCCGAAAUAGCUUUAGGGCUAGCCUCAAGGUGAGAGAUACGGAGGUAGAGCACUGAAUGUCCUAGGGGGUAUUGCACCUACCGAAGACUAUCAAACUCCGAAUGCCGUCAUCUUAUACUUGGGAGUCAGACUGUGGGUGAUAAGAUUCAUAGUCGAAAGGGCAACAGCCCAGAUCGUCAGCUAAGGUCCCUAAAUGUAAGUUAAGUGGUAAAGGAUGUGGGAUUGCACAGACAACCAGGAUGUUGGCUUAGAAGCAGCCACUCAUUCAAAGAGUGCGUAAUAGCUCACUGGUCGAGUGAUCCUGCGCCGAAGAUUUCCGGGGCUAAAACUUACUACCGAAGCUACGGCAUCAGUAAUGAUGGGUAGGGGAGCUUCCCAUACGGGUUGAAGCAUGACCGUAAGGACAUGUGGACAGUAUGGGAGUGAGAAUGUUGGCAUGAGUAGCGAGAUGUGGGUGAGAAUCCCACAGGCCGUAAACCCAAGGUUUCCAGGGGAAGGUUCGUCCGCCCUGGGUUAGUCGGGACCUAAGCUGAGGCCGAAAGGCGUAGGUGAUGGACAACAGGUUGAUAUUCCUGUACUACCGAUAACCGUUUGAGAGA